Acinonyx jubatus (cheetah) is the source of this 760-nucleotide long non-coding RNA. RefSeq lists it as uncharacterized. The record is from RefSeq and is a predicted model, not a curated record. NCBI's taxonomy places the organism in Eukaryota, Metazoa, Chordata, Mammalia, Carnivora, Felidae. The transcript has 3 exons.
GGUGAAAGCGAUCCCGCUCCGGCCCAGGGGGCAGCCUGCUGCGGGUGGCUUGUUCCUUUCAGGCGGCCACGCUCCCGUCCAGGUAUCGGGAGGCCCGGCUGGGAAGCACGCUCCUUGGUGCAACUUCAUACCAGGACAUUCGAGAGGGUUAUGGGAAACUAUUUUUCUCUUACUCUGUCAUCUGGAAUGACACGGAUUCAGGGCGUGUAAAAAGCGUGUCCUUUAAUUUAUGGCGACAUAAACAAACCUGAGCAGCCUGGACUGAAAAUCAGAGAUGAAGGUGAUAGGAGAGAAGCGUCGGCGUGGAUAAUGCUGUUAACAUCCUUUUACCUCCUGUGACGGGGCUCCGGGAGGGAUGGCUUCGGCACGCGGGGUCUUUGCAACAUGUUCUGCUCACGUUAAAACUGUAGAAAUAGCAGUCUUUGUUUACUUCCUGCAUUGGAAGAGGGUGUUUUUAAGAGCCGAAGGAAAGCGCUUCACUGGCAAGGAUUGGAGAAUAAGAAGUCAGUCUACAUUCAGAAAAGCGUAUAUAGCAGGCAUGGAGCUAUAAAGCUGCGUCCCAUGAACCCUGUCCUUUAAGAGCUUAGAGUCUCCUGGAAAACCCAAGAUGGGAGCAUAAAUAGCUGUGAGAUAAAGUGAAAAGGAGGCGCUACAGGAAAGGAACCCCAGAAAGUGGUCCACUAGCAGAAUGAUGAUGACUCCUGGAACUUUCUCUGAUUCUCAUUCUCCCUCCUACCUUGCUCAUCAUCUUAUGUAUUCA